AUAUCUCUCUGUACGGGAAGGAUGAGAAGCUUCGACUAAGGUUCGAUUCGAGCGCAGCGAGAAAGCGUUGCCGCAGGCAACGACCCGAAGGGCGAAGCGCGCAGCGCUGAGUAA
This 114-nucleotide small RNA is filed under the name Salmonella enterica subsp. enterica serovar Berta. Its description in RNAcentral is "partial RtT sRNA". It matches the Rfam family "RtT RNA", at positions 1 to 113 of the family's 130-position model. From Rfam's summary of the family: This family represents a bacterial cis-regulatory element known as RtT RNA. The exact function of RtT is unknown although it is thought that it may be involved in changing the cellular response in relation to amino acid starvation. Lineage: Bacteria; Pseudomonadati; Pseudomonadota; Gammaproteobacteria; Enterobacterales; Enterobacteriaceae. The record is from RNAcentral. RNAcentral also lists the same sequence under 1 other name.